Molecule: ribosomal RNA, 482 nt
Filed under: Achromobacter sp. HE39A
Lineage: Bacteria; Pseudomonadati; Pseudomonadota; Betaproteobacteria; Burkholderiales; Alcaligenaceae
Description: bacterial SSU rRNA
Rfam family: Bacterial small subunit ribosomal RNA
Source: RNAcentral
CCUAUCCGGUGCCUUACCAUGCAGUCGAACGGCAGCACGGACUUCGGUCUGGUGGCGAGUGGCGAACGGGUGAGUAAUGUAUCGGAACGUGCCCAGUAGCGGGGGAUAACUACGCGAAAGCGUAGCUAAUACCGCAUACGCCCUACGGGGGAAAGCAGGGGAUCGCAAGACCUUGCACUAUUGGAGCGGCCGAUAUCGGAUUAGCUAGUUGGUGGGGUAACGGCUCACCAAGGCGACGAUCCGUAGCUGGUUUGAGAGGACGACCAGCCACACUGGGACUGAGACACGGCCCAGACUCCUACGGGAGGCAGCAGUGGGGAAUUUUGGACAAUGGGGGAAACCCUGAUCCAGCCAUCCCGCGUGUGCGAUGAAGGCCUUCGGGUUGUAAAGCACUUUUGGCAGGAAAGAAACGUCGCGGGUUAAUACCCCGCGAAACUGACGGUACCUGCAGAAUAAGCACCGGCUAACUACGUGCCAGCACC